GCUGUAGCAGUAGAAGCGGACGCCGUUCAUGAGGCCCUGGUAGAGGAGGCCGGCAGCCAGCCCCUUCUGCAGCCCGCACAGCCCAUCCGCACGGGCCACCGCGACGACGGAGGCCACAAAGCCCCGGUAGAGCCGAGGGUGGGGAUAUGGACACCCACUGCAGAAGUUCCUUGAAGAAUUGUAGAUGUGUAAAGAACACCUUUACAGAAGAAGGGGACGACAGUGGAUGAGAUGGUUGGAUGGCAUCACUGACUCGAUGGACAUGGGUUUGGGUGGACUCCGGGAGUUGGUGAUGGACAGGGAGGCCUGGCAUGCUGCGGUUCAUCGGGUCGCAGAGUCAGACACGACUGAGCGACUGAACUGAACUGAAAGAACGCCUAGCACAGUACUUCACCCAAUCGCCCUGGGUGGGUAGGAGAUGGAAAAAUAAGAGCCACUGUGUCUCACCGAG
Long non-coding RNA from Dama dama (fallow deer), 451 nucleotides. RefSeq lists it as uncharacterized. The transcript is spliced from 2 exons. The record is from RefSeq and is a predicted model, not a curated record. NCBI's taxonomy places the organism in Eukaryota, Metazoa, Chordata, Mammalia, Artiodactyla, Cervidae.